CCUGAAUUCGUUAGGACACCUUUCCUACCAGCUCAAACACAGACCGAGGAUGUCGGUUCAUUCGAUAUGUCUACUGAAGCAAUAAGACGUAAACAUCAUGUGCUGCGUGGGGAAAGACAAGCUAUCUUAGCCCGUCGAAACCAGCAAUUUCAAGCAUCCAUUGCAAGAAACGUGACUACUUUGAAUGGGGAUACUAUCGGUGAUGCCAACAACAAUGCACAAUGUAGCGUUCCAUGCCAAGUCACUACAUUGCCAACAAAUGGAAGUGAAGGCAUAACCGAACAAGAAAGUGAGGUGGAGCAUACACAAGAGAAGCCAAGG
Molecule: unclassified non-coding RNA, 321 nt
Filed under: Zea mays
Lineage: Eukaryota; Viridiplantae; Streptophyta; Magnoliopsida; Poales; Poaceae
Description: misc RNA Zm00001eb370080
Source: RNAcentral